CCAUCAUUCAUUUGGGCACUCUAGCGAGACUGCCGGUAUAAACCGGAGAAGGUGGGGAUGACGUCAAAUCAUCAUGCCCCUUAUGACCUGGGCUACACACGUGCUACAAUGGUUGGUACAACGAGUUGCGGGUCGGUGACGGCGAGCUAAUCUCUUAAAGCCAAUCUCAGUUCGGAUUGUAGGCUGCAACUCGCCUACAUGAAGUCGGAAUCGCUAGUAAUCGCGGAUCAGCACGCCGCGGUCGAAUACGUUCCCGGGCCUU
Molecule: ribosomal RNA, 262 nt
Filed under: uncultured Streptococcus sp.
Lineage: Bacteria; Bacillati; Bacillota; Bacilli; Lactobacillales; Streptococcaceae
Description: partial 16S ribosomal RNA
Rfam family: Bacterial small subunit ribosomal RNA
Source: RNAcentral